CUACGGGCGGCACCAGUGGGGAAUUUUGGACAAUGGGGGCAACCCUGAUCCAGCCAUGCCGCGUGAGUAAAGAAGGCCUUCGGGUUGUAAAGCUCUUUCAGCCGGGAAGAAAUCGCAUGGGCCAAUACCCUGUGCGGAUGACGGUACCGGAAUAAGAAGCACCGGCUAACUACGUGCCAGCAGCCGCGGUAAUACGUAGGGUGCGAGCGUUAAUCGGAAUUACUGGGCGUAAAGCGUGCGCAGGCGGAUGCUUAAGUCAGAUGUGAAAUCCCCGGGCUUAACCUGGGAAUUGCAUUUGAAACUGGGUGUCUAGAGUGCGUCAGAGGGGGGUGGAAUUCCACGUGUAGCAGUGAAAUGCGUAGAUAUGUGGAGGAACACCAAUGGCGAAGGCAGCCCCCUGGGAUGACACUGACGCUCAUGCACGAAAGCGUGGGGAGCAAACAGGAUUAGAUACCCUAGUAGUC
This 464-nucleotide ribosomal RNA is filed under the name uncultured bacterium. RNAcentral's name for it is "partial 16S ribosomal RNA". It matches the Rfam family "Bacterial small subunit ribosomal RNA", at positions 339 to 795 of the family's 1533-position model. The record is from RNAcentral.